GGGGGGAUGGUGUAGUGGUAUAGCACUUGGUGUGACUACUAGAGUCAGCGGGUUUGAAUCCCGCUCCCCCCA
This 72-nucleotide transfer RNA is filed under the name Nilaparvata lugens yeast-like symbiont. RNAcentral's name for it is "tRNA-Und (NNN) (tRNA-Und-NNN-1-1)". It matches the Rfam family "tRNA". From Rfam's summary of the family: Transfer RNA (tRNA) molecules are approximately 80 nucleotides in length. Their secondary structure includes four short double-helical elements and three loops (D, anti-codon, and T loops). Further hydrogen bonds mediate the characteristic L-shaped molecular structure. tRNAs have two regions of fundamental functional importance: the anti-codon, which is responsible for specific mRNA codon recognition, and the 3' end, to which the tRNAs corresponding amino acid is attached (by aminoacyl-tRNA synthetases). tRNAs cope with the degeneracy of the genetic code in two manners: having more than one tRNA (with a specific anti-codon) for a particular amino acid; and 'wobble' base-pairing, i.e. permitting non-standard base-pairing at the 3rd anti-codon position. Lineage: Eukaryota; Fungi; Ascomycota. The record is from RNAcentral.